Molecule: non-coding RNA, 179 nt
Filed under: Acetonema longum
Lineage: Bacteria; Bacillati; Bacillota; Negativicutes; Acetonemataceae
Also listed under: 1 other name
Source: RNAcentral
AUUACAUAAAAUGAGACAGGUGCCCUAGAGGCUUAAUAGGGAAGCCGGUGAAAAACCGGUGCGGUCCCGCCACUGUAAUGGGGAGCAAACCCAAGGAAUACCACUGAGACUCCGUCUUGGGAAGGUUUGGGCGAGUGAUGAGCCAGAGCCAGGAGAACUGCCUGUUUGACAGUCACCGU